Molecule: ribosomal RNA, 489 nt
Filed under: uncultured bacterium
Lineage: Bacteria
Description: partial 16S ribosomal RNA
Rfam family: Bacterial small subunit ribosomal RNA
Source: RNAcentral
GACGAACGCUGGCGGCGUGCUUAACACAUGCCAGUCGAACGGAAAGGCCCCCAUCUUGGUGGGGGUGCUCGAGUGGCGAACGGGUGAGUAACACGUGGGUGAUCUGCCCUGUACUUCGGGAUAAGCUUGGGAAACUGGGUCUAAUACCGGAUAGGACCAUGGUUUAGUGUCUCAUGGUGGAAAGAUUAUUGUUUUGGUGCAGGAUGAGCUCGCGGCCUAUCAGCUUGUUGGUGGGGUAAUGGCCUACCAAGGCGUCGACGGGUAGCCGGCCUGAGAGGGUGGACGGCCACAUUGGGACUGAGAUACGGCCCAGACUCCUACGGGAGGCAGCAGUGGGGAAUAUUGCACAAUGGGCGCAAGCCUGAUGCAGCGACGCCGCGUGGGGGAUGACGGCCUUCGGGUUGUAAACUCCUUUCGUUAGGGACGAAGCCGCACUUUUUUGGGGUGUGGUGACGGUACCUUUGUGAAGAAGCACCGGCUAACUACGUG